UGCGGAGGGAUCAUUACAAGUGACCCCGGUCUAACCACCGGGAUGUUCAUAACCCUUUGUUGUCCGACUCUGUUGCCUCCGGGGCGACCCUGCCUUCGGGCGGGGGCUCCGGGUGGACACUUCAAACUCUUGCGUAACUUUGCAGUCUGAGUAAACUUAAUUAAUAAAUUAAAACUUUUAACAACGGAUCUCUUGGUUCUGGCAUCGAUGAAGAACGCAGCGAAAUGCGAUAAGUAAUGUGAAUUGCAGAAUUCAGUGAAUCAUCGAAUCUUUGAACGCACAUUGCGCCCCCUGGUAUUCCGGGGGGCAUGCCUGUUCGAGCGUCAUUUCACCACUCAAGCCUCGCUUGGUAUUGGGCAACGCGGUCCGCCGCGUGCCUCAAAUCGACCGGCUGGGUCUUCUGUCCCCUAAGCGUUGUGGAAACUAUUCGCUAAAGGGUGCUCGGGAGGCUACGCCGUAAAACAAACCCAUUUCUAAGGUUGACCUCGGAUCAGGUAGGGAUACCCGCUGAACUUAAGCAUAUCAAUA
Molecule: ribosomal RNA, 528 nt
Filed under: Cladosporium cladosporioides
Lineage: Eukaryota; Fungi; Ascomycota; Dothideomycetes; Cladosporiales; Cladosporiaceae
Description: eukaryotic LSU rRNA
Rfam family: 5.8S ribosomal RNA (bases 173-326)
Source: RNAcentral